GAUGAACGCUGGCGGCGUGCUUAACACAUGCAAGUCGAACGAUGAAGCCCAGCUUGCUGGGUGGAUUAGUGGCGAACGGGUGAGUAACACGUGAGUAACCUGCCCUUAACUCUGGGAUAAGCCUGGGAAACUGGGUCUAAUACCGGAUAGGAGCGCCUACCGCAUGGUGGGUGUUGGAAAGAUUUAUCGGUUUUGGAUGGACUCGCGGCCUAUCAGCUUGUUGGUGAGGUAAUGGCUCACCAAGGCGACGACGGGUAGCCGGCCUGAGAGGGUGACCGGCCACACUGGGACUGAGACACGGCCCAGAUUCCUACGGGAGGCAGCAGUGGGGAAUAUUGCACAAUGGGCGAAAGCCUGAUGCAGCGACGCCGCGUGAGGGAUGACGGCCUUCGGGUUGUAAACCUCUUUCAGUAGGGAAGAAGCGAAAGUGACGGUACCUGCAGAAGAAGCACCGGCUAACUACGUG
RNAcentral lists this ribosomal RNA (466 nucleotides) under uncultured bacterium. RNAcentral describes it as "partial 16S ribosomal RNA". It matches the Rfam family "Bacterial small subunit ribosomal RNA", at positions 28 to 507 of the family's 1533-position model. The record is from RNAcentral.